Molecule: long non-coding RNA, 1121 nt
Filed under: Equus caballus (horse)
Lineage: Eukaryota; Metazoa; Chordata; Mammalia; Perissodactyla; Equidae
Description: lncRNA (ENSECAG00000044944.1)
Source: RNAcentral
AUCCCCCAAAUUUACAUAUUGAAGCCCUAAUCCCCAAGGCGAUGGUAUUAGGAGGCAAAGCCUUUGGGAAAUAAUUAGGUUUAGAUGAGAUCAUGAGGGUGGGGCGCCAUGAUAGGAUUAGUGUCCUCGUAAGAAACAGAAGAGACCCCAGAGCUUCCCCUCUUUGCCAUGUGAGGACAUGGUGAGUAGGUAAGUCUACAAGUCAGGAAAAGAGCCCUCACCAAGAACCAAAUUUGCCAGCACCUUAAUCUUGGACUUUUUCCAUCCUCCAGGAUUGUAAGACAUAAAUGUCUGUUCUUUAAGCCACCUAGUCUAUGGUAUUUUGUAAUAUCAGCCCAAGCUGACUAAGACAGGUGGCAAGGAAAUAGCUCAGGGAAGAGGGGGCCUUGGGAGGCUGGUGAUUCAGAAUGUAGAGCCAGGUCCAAGACUAGUGUUCUAGAAGAGAGACAGCAAAGGAUAGCUAGCAUUAAAAGGAAAAGAAAUAUAGCUGAAUGGUUGGGGAUGGAGUAGCAUGGCAAAAGGCCAAGGGCAGAGAAACCCUCUGCAAAGUUCAAAAUGAGAGAAGUUCCUAGGGGUUUCCGUCAGCUUGUGUGAAAAUUUGAGAUGUAACAGAGUAUGAGAUGAAGUAUGGAAUAACGGUAAAUAAAAAUUCACAUUUUAAUACAGGUUAUCAACAAUUUUGUAAAAGCAAGACUACUAAAAUAUAGAAGAGUCUUUAUACGCUAUAUUAUGAAAUGGAGAUUGAUUAUGAAGACUUUUUCCCUCAUAGAGAUUCUCAGAUUUUCUUUUGGCAAAGUUCUUAAAAGUGCUAUUGAAUUCAAAAAUGAGUUAGCUGUGUGCUACCUAGCAGAUAUAAAUUUUGAAAAGGCACACUUAAACAGUGUCUUUGGUGAUAUUUUCACAAUAAGUGUGAAAGAAGUACAUAUUUUUAAAAACUUAUUCUCUUUAAAAUAUGAUGUUUGGAAAACUUUAUAUUGAAGGGCAAUAUCGUUGCUGGAAACAACGUGUGUCACAUGAAAAAAAUAAAACCAACUCAGGUCUGAGCACCUAAAAAUUUGGAAACGGUAUUUUUAAACCUAUUUUAAAAUCUUCAAAAUAAUGUUUUGAAGUUGGCUUUUGAA